CUGAGACAGCUUUCUACUUCUCAGUCGUUCUUUAAUUCCCUAUUCCCACCUUAUUGAGCUGAGCCUAACAGGGACUCAUUCUGCGCCGUGGGAACUUAAGCUUAAAAAUGGAAGGAAAACCCCAAGAAAAGCAUGCAGGAGGUCACUGCAGAUGAGAAAGGUCGCCUAAUCGAAGCUGUUUCCCAUUAUUAUGGGACCUCACCGAAAUCAUGCCGGUCGUGACCUCGCAAAGAAACAGAACCACCAAUAAUACGAUCUCCGACGAGCUCUAUUUGGGAAUCCCAGGACUCCACCUUCACCAACUACUUGGCAGCUAGUGCGAAGAUGGAGGAGGAAAAAAGGCUCCGCUAAGGCACACCUGGAAAAGCCAUUACCAUCCAUUGCUAGGAUGCUGUGCGACUUCCUGCAGCAUCAGGCGAAACAACCCCGUUCCCAACCUGGCUCCUACUUCCUCAAGAUCAAAUAUGCCUAUUGGGACUCGGAGCUGGACUGCAGAUGGCGCGGGAAGGAUGGCGAAGCAUCCGUGGGACGAGAAGUUGCGUGAACUUUGAAAACUUCGGUCACACUUCAAAGAACAAGAUUUGAAGACUAUUGAAACUCUUAGCCGAUCUGAGUACUAGGCUUAAAACUGAAUAAAAUUGAAAAUUUGACAUGGCUAUAAAUAAGUAAUUAAUCGGUAUAAUAUAAAAUCAUCGAAAAACCACGGAAAACAGCGCUAAGGAAAAAAUCGAGGCAUCGAUGAAUUUUUUAAUAGUUUUGAUAUAAGAUUCAUUCUGUUAUUUUAUUUAUAUGAAAAACUACAAAAAAGCUUCGGUACUAAUUAAAUUUUUUUUAUUUUUUAUACAUGUAAUGAAAUUCUUUUGCACGUAUGGUACACUUAGCACUAUUUGUGUAAAGUUUUGUGGAUUAGAUCCAGCAAAAGCUGGUCUUUGUCGUUAUUCUGGAAUUUAUCAUUGCCAUAUACAUAUAUACAUAUGAAGCUAAUAAAUAU
Drosophila suzukii is the source of this 991-nucleotide non-coding RNA. The record is from RefSeq and is a predicted model, not a curated record. Lineage: Eukaryota; Metazoa; Arthropoda; Insecta; Diptera; Drosophilidae.